RNAcentral lists this long non-coding RNA (998 nucleotides) under Homo sapiens (human). RNAcentral describes it as "HSALNT0253610". Lineage: Eukaryota; Metazoa; Chordata; Mammalia; Primates; Hominidae. The record is from RNAcentral.
GGUGGGUUGGACUAGUCGGAGAAACCCAGGUAAUAAAGUGAAGAAUGCCUCACAAAUCCUCCUGCGAGCCUCACGGCCUGUACCCCUCCAGGACACCGGGGAGCUUCUCCUGGGAUCGCACGUGGCUUGUGCUGGAAUUGCCUCUGGGAGGCUCUGCCCACUCAGCCCCAGACCCUCAGCAGAACAGCAAGAAAGCUGCACCUCUACUGCACGGAUCUUCCAAAACCAGAUUUGAUCUCCACCCUGCUUCUGCUAAGAAACAUUCAGUAGCUUGUCACUGCCCAAAGCCCAGGAUCUCUGCUGGGCCUGCAGUCUGGUAAGAAUCAAUCUUUAAGGUCCUUGACAAAGAACAUGAGACUGUCAAGUACUCAAUAUGACAGGGAAUUCAUGUUUCAUGUUAAAAUUAGAGAUAAUUCCAUUUAUUCAGGAAACAUAUCACCAUUCUAGAAAGCUAACUUGCAAUGAAGAUACAGGUGCAAACCACAGCACAGGAAUCUGGGUUUGGGAGUCAUUUCUCACUCUUGGGAGUCUGUGCAUCGGAAGUCAGUUUCACGUGUCUUGAUGAAGAAAAAUGUUGAGGGCUAUGGGCAUAAAAAGCAGCUCCUUUGCACAAGACAUGAUUGUCUUUCCUCCUUGCAUUUGGAAGAGACACUUCACCCUUCUUUGUCCAGAAUAUUCUAUUCAUCUUGCUCGUCCCAAUUCAGAAACUACCUCUGUGAGGCUGUUCUCAUUUCACUCAAGCAAAAUCACUCACUUAUUCCUGAUUUCUUUCUGUUCCUAUAGUAUGAAGUUUUUUUCUCUGUAUUUGUUCAGAACACAUGUCUCUCCACAAAAUCAUGUAUUUUAAACAAUUAUGAGUAGAAUAUUUUUCAUCAUCUUAUUAUUUAUUGUAUCUCUUCAUACAAGUUGAAUAAUGUGUAAUGAAUACAUUUUAAAAUGCUUUUUGUCUUCAAGGAAUAUGAAAUUUGGCAAGGAAAAUAAAACUUAUGAUCUGUAAA